UACAGAGGGUGCGAGCGUUGUCCGGAAUCACUGGGCGUAAAGGGCGCGUAGGUGGCGCCGCAAGUCCAUGGUGAAAGCUCGAUGCUCAACAUCGAGUCGGCCACGGAGACUGCGGGGCUCGAGCACUGUAGGGGCAGAUGGGAAUUCCGGGUGUAGCGGUGGAAUGCGUAGAGAUCCGGAAGAACACCGGUGGCGAAGGCGGUCUGCUGGGCAGUUGCUGACACUGAGGCGCGGAC
Molecule: ribosomal RNA, 236 nt
Filed under: uncultured bacterium
Lineage: Bacteria
Description: partial 16S ribosomal RNA
Rfam family: Bacterial small subunit ribosomal RNA
Source: RNAcentral